CGGGGUGUAGCGCAGCCUGGUAGCGCACCUGAAUGGGGUUCAGGUGGUCGGAGGUUCAAAUCCUCCCACCCCGA
This 74-nucleotide transfer RNA is filed under the name Chloroflexota bacterium. Its description in RNAcentral is "Chloroflexi bacterium (marine metagenome) tRNA-Pro". It matches the Rfam family "tRNA". From Rfam's summary of the family: Transfer RNA (tRNA) molecules are approximately 80 nucleotides in length. Their secondary structure includes four short double-helical elements and three loops (D, anti-codon, and T loops). The record is from RNAcentral. Lineage: Bacteria; Bacillati; Chloroflexota. RNAcentral also lists the same sequence under 1 other name.